RNAcentral lists this ribosomal RNA (300 nucleotides) under uncultured Sphaerobacter sp. Its description in RNAcentral is "bacterial SSU rRNA". It matches the Rfam family "Bacterial small subunit ribosomal RNA", at positions 496 to 795 of the family's 1533-position model. Lineage: Bacteria; Pseudomonadati; Thermomicrobiota; Thermomicrobia; Sphaerobacterales; Sphaerobacteraceae. The record is from RNAcentral.
GCUAACUACGUGCCAGCAGCCGCGGUAAUACGUAGGGGCCGAGCGUUGUCCGGAGUUACUGGGCGUAAAGCGUGCGCAGGCGGCGCGUUCUGCCCGGCGUGAAAGCCCCCGGCUCAACCGGGGAACGUCGUCGGGGACGGGCGCGCUUGAGGGCGGCAGGGGCUGGUGGAAUUCCCGGUGUAGUGGUGAAAUGCGUAGAGAUCGGGAGGAACACCUGUGGCGAAGGCGGCCAGCUGGGCCGACCCUGACGCUGAGGCACGAAGGCGUGGGGAGCGAACGGGAUUAGAUACCCUGGUAGUC